GAUUAACGCUGGCGGCGUGCAUAACACAUGCAAGUCGAACGAUGAAACUUUAAUGACCCCUUCGGGGAGAAUUAAAGCGGAUUAGUGGCGAACGGGUGAGUAACGCGUGAGUAACCUGCCUUACACAAGGGGAUAGCCUUUGGAAACGAAGAAUAAUACCCUAUAAAACCAUAAAAGCACAUGCAAUUAUGGUCAAAGUGAUAGCGGUGUAAGAUGGACUUGCGUCUGAUUAGCUAGUUGGUGAGAUAAAAGCCCACCAAGGCAACGAUCAGUAGCCGGCUUGAGAGAGUGUACGGCCACAUUGGGACUGGGACAAGGCCCAGACUCCUACGGGAGGCAGCAGUGGGGAAUUUGGCACAAUGGGGGAAACCCUGAUGCAGCGAGGCCGCGAGAUUUAGAAGGCCUUCGGGUUGUAAAAAUCUUUUGUAUAGGAAGAAAAUGACAGUACUAUACGAAUAAGGUCCGGCUAAUUACGUG
Molecule: ribosomal RNA, 477 nt
Filed under: uncultured bacterium
Lineage: Bacteria
Description: partial 16S ribosomal RNA
Rfam family: Bacterial small subunit ribosomal RNA
Source: RNAcentral